Molecule: ribosomal RNA, 771 nt
Filed under: Austrochloritis sp. AM C.572212
Lineage: Eukaryota; Metazoa; Mollusca; Gastropoda; Stylommatophora; Camaenidae
Description: partial large subunit ribosomal RNA
Source: RNAcentral
UUAACAAAAUUUACACUAAAUCGUCUUACACGAAAUUGGGGGAGCUAGUUAUUAUAUAUUUAUAGAUUUUAAAGUGUUGCAUAACUUAAUGUAAUAAUAAUUAGGAGUGAUAGGCUUAUCACACUCAAUGAUAACUUGAAAGUCUUGAAAUGUAUUAGUACGUAAACAUCCUUUGAGUAAUAUGGCUUAAAGAUUAUAACAAAUGUUUAUAUUUAUUUAAAUAUAUAGUUUAAUCACUAAUAUUUUAUAAUAUUACUAUUAAUUUAUUAUUUUUGUUUAAUUUAAAGACCACAUGACUAAAUAUAUUCUCUUAAAUAUAAUGUUAAUAUAAGUACUUACAAAAUGUUAUUAAUGAACUCGGCAAUAGGCCUUUCAACUGUUUAUCAAAAACAUAGCUAUUUGUAUAUAUAUAUAGUUUUUUCUGCUCAAUGAAACUUAAAUAGCCGCAGUACCUUGACUGUGCAAAGGUAGCGCAAUAAAUUGACUUUUAAAUGGAGUCGUGAAUGAAAGAAAUCAUGGGGGGUCCCUCUCUCAAUAACAUUAUAUUAAAUUAAUAAUAAAGUGAAAAUGCUUUAGUUUAAAUAUAAGACGAGAAGACCCUAGAAAUUUUAAAGAUCGAUGCUUUUUGUUGGGGCAACAAUGUAGCACCUAUAACCUACAUAUAAUUACACGAAAUAAAUAAUUUGAUUGAGCAAAUUACUCUAGGGAUAACAGCAUAAUUUUGUAAAGUUUGUGACCUCGAUGUUGGAUUAGGGAAUCUGUGUUUAGAAG